CUUACCUCUCUAUUGCCCUUCCACAAGAAAGACUAUGGACCAGUGGAGGCUGCUGAAGGGGAGGACAGUUCAUAAUAAGGGCUGGUAUACCGCUCCAGCCAUUACCACGAGCACUUUCUCCCCAAUUAAGGUGCCACCAACCUCCUGUGGUAUGUACAGUGGUGAGAGGGGUCUAGGUGAAAGUGUAAGAACUACAUACUUAACUGGGAAAUGGACAAAGGAUUAACUUGAAGAUGGAUUGUACUCCGAGUAGAUGAUCAAGCGAAUGACUGGACUGUUGCUUCAUAUUCCAUCUUGGAUACUAUCUAUAUUCCAGAGCAGACUGGUGAGAGGAGCUAUAGGAGGAUGGGCUCAUUGCAACGGUUGGAAUGAAUGGAACGGUGUUAAACAUGUAGAAACCACAAUUCCACGCCAAGAAUCAGGCAGCUGGGGAGCAGCAGAACCCAGACAGAUGCCGAGAGAAGAGACCUCAUCCACAGGCAGCUGGGGAGCAGCAGAACCCAGACAGAUGCAGAGAGAAUCAUCUACAGGCAGUUGGGGAGCAGCAGAACCCAGACAGAUGCAGAGAGAAAAGAACUCAUCCACAGGCAGCUGGGGAGCAGCAGAACCCAGACAGAUGCAGAGAGAAGAGGCCUCACCUACAGGCAGCUGGGGAGCAGCAAAAC
Molecule: long non-coding RNA, 665 nt
Organism: Oncorhynchus tshawytscha (Chinook salmon)
Lineage: Eukaryota; Metazoa; Chordata; Actinopteri; Salmoniformes; Salmonidae
Source: Ensembl